This 4063-nucleotide long non-coding RNA is filed under the name Salmo salar (Atlantic salmon). RNAcentral describes it as "lncRNA (ENSSSAG00000100238.1, ENSSSAG00000114932.1)". Lineage: Eukaryota; Metazoa; Chordata; Actinopteri; Salmoniformes; Salmonidae. The record is from RNAcentral.
GGGGGGGCUUGUAGGCAUUUUGAAAAUUUGAGUAGCAGUGGAAAAUCCACCAGGGCUACUCCUGCCUCCAGAAGUUGAUCUAGAAGAGUUGUAGAAGAGUUGUAGAGACUACAGAAAGAUAGGCAGAGUGUUGAACCAUUUCAUUUGUUUAAGAGACGUCUGGAUACUGUGUAUCAGGAUUUUGUGGCCAUAUACACAGAUGGUUAAAAAAAAUCCAAGGACAGAGCGUACUGGGUCAGCAUUUGUAGUGCAGGAAUGUGGGGUGGCAGUCAGGAAACGUAUUACAGAUCAUCUGGCUGUAUAUACGGCAGAGCUGAUGGACAUACUGUUGGCCUUGCAGUGGGUGGAGGAAGUCAAGCCAGACAGAGUACAUUUUUACAUUUACGUCAUUUAGCAGACGCUCUUAUCCAGAGUGACUUACAAAUUGGUGCAUUCACCAAGUAGUUAUUUGCUCUGAUUUAUGUGCAGUGUUGAUGAGUCUCCAGUCAUUUAGCUCACGUAGCAGACAAGACCUGCUUUAUGAGGUGCUAUAAACCCAUGGAAGGAUGAGACAGAUGGGUAUACAGAUAACAUUUACUUGGGUCCCAGCCCAUGUGGGGGUGGAGGGGAAUGAGGCAGUUGAUGGACUGGCUAAACAAGCACUUAGAAGUGGGGAUGUUGACGUUGUAGUUUCAAUGAGCAAAGCAGAGGAAAACAGCCUGAUAUGGACAGUGAUGGUGUAGAGAUGGCAGGCUAAAAGCCUGAUAUGGACAGUGAUGGUGCAGAGAUGGCAGGCUAAAAGCCUGAUAUGGACAGUGAUGGUGCAGAGAUGGCAGGCUAAAUCCUGAUAUGGACAGUGAUGGUGCAGAGAUGGCAGGCUAAAUCCUGAUAUGGACAGUGAUGGUGCAGAGAUGGCAGGCUAAAUCCUGAUAUGGACAGUGAUGGUGCAGAGAUGGCAGGCUAAAAGCCUGAUAUGGACAGUGAUGGUGCAGAGAUGGCAGGCUAAAUCCUGAUAUGGACAGUGAUGGUGCAGAGAUGGCAGGCUAAAAGCCUGAUAUGGACAGUGAUGGUGCAGAGAUGGUAGGCUAAAUCCUGAUAUGGACAGUGAUGGUGUUAGAGAUGGCAGGCUAAAUCCUGAUAUGGACAGUGAUGGUGCAGAGAUGGCAGGCUAAAAUCCUGAUAUGGACAGUGAUGGUGUUAGAGAUGGCAGGCUAAAUCCUGAUAUGGACAGUGAUGGUGCAGAGAUGGCAGGCUAAAUCCUGAUAUGGACAGUGAUGGUGUAGAGAUGGCAGGCUAAAAGCCUGAUAUGGACAGUGAUGGUGCAGAGAUGGUAGGCUAAAUCCUGAUAUGGACAGUGAUGGUGUUAGAGAUGGCAGGCUAAAUCCUGAUAUGGACAGUGAUGGUGCAGAGAUGGCAGGCUAAAAUCCUGAUAUGGACAGUGAUGGUGCAGAGAUGGCAGGCUAAAUCCUGAUAUGGACAGUGAUGGUGCAGAGAUGGCAGGCUAAAUCCUGAUAUGGACAGUGAUGGUGCAGAGAUGGCAGGCUAAAUCCUGAUAUGGACAGUGAUGGUGCAGAGAUGGCAGGAGCAGGUUAAAAGCCUGAUAUGGACAGUGAUGGUGUAGAGAUGGCAGGCUAAAAGCCUGAUAUGGACAGUGAUGGUGCAGAGAUGGCAGGCUAAAUCCUGAUAUGGACAGUGAUGGUGUUAGAGAUGGCAGGCUAAAUCCUGAUAUGGACAGUGAUGGUGCAGAGAUGGCAGGCUAAAAUCCUGAUAUGGACAGUGAUGGUGCAGAGAUGACAGGAGCAGGCUAAAAGCCUGAUAUGGACAGUGAUGGUGCAGAGAUGACAGGAGCAGGCUAAAAGCCUGAUAUGGACAGUGAUGGUGCAGAGAUGGCAGGAGCAGGUUAAAAGCCUGAUAUGGACAGUGAAGGUGCAGAGAUGGCAGGAGCAGUGGAAUAGAGAUACUAAGGACAGGCAUUUAUUUCAAGUACAGAGUAAAGUCGGAGAGGGGAGGACGGCAGGAAGGGACAGAAGAGAGGAGGAUAUUUUUACAAGAUUAAGGGUGGGACACAGCCAGUUGAAUAAGUCCUUAAAUGUGAUAGGAAAGCAUCCAACAGGAAAGUGUGAUUAUUACCAGGAAACAGAGGCCGUGGAGCAUGUAUUGCUAUAGUGUGGGCAGUAUCAGAGGGAAAUAGAGAGGCUGAGAUCUAGUAUGAGGGAGAAGGGGAUACAAUAAAUUAUUUUAAAGAGUAUAUUAAUUAGCACAUCAUUAGAUAUAGUCUCAAAUAUGUAUUUUUUAUAUAUAUUUUUUAAAUGUAACAGGGCUGGCAAGUAGGGUUUAGUUUCUCCCUGUCUCUGGCCCACACUCCAGUACAGUAGGUGGCAGUAAUGCACCAUAACAUUGAAUGUCAACCGCCGAUAAACCCCAACGAAGAAGAAGAGCAGCAGUGGUCCAAUGUUUUACCAGCGCGAGUACUACAGUGAAUGUGUUGGUAGAACUUCGGUAGCAUUUUCCUCAAAUUUCAUUUGUUAAAAUCCCCAGCUACAAUAAAUAUGUGGUUUACAGUUUGCAUAAAGUCCAGUGUAGUUCUUUGAAGGCCGUCAUUGUAUCGGCUUGAGGGGGAAUAUACACAGCUGUGACUAUAACUGAAGAGAAUUAUCUUGAAAGUAAAUACGGUCGGCAUUUGAUUGUGUGGUAUUCUAGGUAGGGUGAACAAAAGGACUUGAGUUUCUACAUGUUAUCACAAUCACAACAUGAGUAGUUAAUCAUGAAACAUACCUCACCUCCUUUCUUCUUCCCAGAGAGUUCUUUAUUCCUGUCUGCGCGAUGUGCUGAGAACCCAGAUGGCUGAAUUGAUUCCGUAAAACAGAGUAUGUUACAAUCCCUGAUUCUUCUGCUAGCAACCUUCUGGUUGUCAGAUUUUUCCCCUCAGCCCUGGGAUCCGAACUGGCAACCCUUAAGUUACUGGCGUCAUCAGAUGUCUGAACUGGCAACCCUUCACUUACGGGCGCAUCAUCAGAGGUCAUUGAUAGGAACGCUCAUUUCAGAAGUCCCUCUGUUUCACCAGGUGGCGCUGCUAUAGUGCAAGAGAAUCUGUUUCACCAGGUGGUGCUGCUAUCGUACAAGAGAAUCUGUUUCACCAGGUGGUGCUGCUAUAUUACAAGAUAAUCUGUUUCACCAGGUGGCGCUGCUAUAUUACAAAAUAAUCUGUUUCACCAGGUGGUGCUGCUAUAGUACAAGAUAAUCUGUUUCACCAGAUGGUGCUGCUAAUUUACAAGAUAAUCUGUUUCACCAGGUGGUGCUGCUAUAGUACGAGAUAAUAUGUUUCACCAGGUGGCGCUGCUAUAAUACAAGAGAAUCUGUUUCACCAGAUGGCGCUGCUAUAUUACAAGAUAAUAUGUUUCACCAGGUGGCGCUGCUAUAGUACAAAAUAAUAUGUUUCACCAGGUGGCGCUGCUAUAUUACAAGAGAAUCUGUUUCACCAGAUGGUGCUGCUAUAUUACAAGAUAAUCUGUUUCACCAGGUGGCGCUGCUAUAUUACAAGAUAAUCUGUUUCACCAGAUGGCGCUGCUAUAGUACAAGAGAAUCUGUUUCACCAGGUGGUGCUGCUAUAGUACAAGAUAAUCUGUUUCACCAGGUGGUGCUGCUAUAGUACAAGAUAAUCUGUUUCACCAGAUGCUGCUGCUAUAGUACAAGAUAAUCUGUUUGGAAGUCCAGUUGCAGAGUAUUUAUUUUGACACUGACAUAUCCAAAGACAUGAGGGGUAUUGUGCAUUAACAGUGUUUUUUACAAUGUGCUUUUGUCAUAAGCCCUAGUAUGAGUAAUAUCUAUUUUUUAUUUUUAAAUGUUAUAAUGUUUCUAUAGUGAUUGUGAGUUUCAAGAACCUUCAAGCGAAGACAUUGUCUGAGAAAACUGCUGUUUCAUUCAGAGAAAGGCAAACAACCUUUUAUUCUCUGACCUCUUUCACUGGUUCCUCGGGUGGGCUUGGCCAUUGCUUCAAACUAUACGUACUCUAACCCGAUGAGUAAAACCAAGAGAUUACAUUUUACAGACACUCUUAUCUUGAGUGAUUUAUGGGAGCAAUUAG